CCUACGGGCGGCAGCAGUGGGGAAUUUUGCACAAUGGGGGAAACCCUGAUGGAGCAACGCCGCGUGAAGGAAGACGGUUUUCGGAUUGUAAACUUCUGUUCUUAGUGAAGAAUAAUGACGGUAGCUAAGGAGCAAGCCACGGUGCAUUACGUGCCAGCAGCCGCGGUAAUACGUCGGUGGAAAGCGUUGGCCGGAAUUACUGGGUGUAAAGGGAGCGCAGGCGGGAUGUCAAGUCAGCAGGUAAAACUACGGGCUUAAAUUGUAGACUGCAGUGGAAACUGGUUUACUUGAGUGAAGGAGAGGUGAGCGGAAUUCCGUGUGUAGCGGUGAAAUGCGUAGAUAUUCGGAGGAACACCGGUGGCGAAGGCGGCCAUCUGGGCUGUAACUGACGCUGAGGCUCGAAAGUGUGGGGAGCAAACAGGAUUAGAUACCCGAGUAGUC
RNAcentral lists this ribosomal RNA (441 nucleotides) under uncultured bacterium. Its description in RNAcentral is "partial 16S ribosomal RNA". It matches the Rfam family "Bacterial small subunit ribosomal RNA", at positions 338 to 795 of the family's 1533-position model. The record is from RNAcentral.